This 271-nucleotide ribosomal RNA is filed under the name uncultured archaeon. RNAcentral describes it as "partial 16S ribosomal RNA". It matches the Rfam family "Archaeal small subunit ribosomal RNA", at positions 477 to 747 of the family's 1478-position model. The record is from RNAcentral.
CAGCGCCACGAGUGGCAACCACGUUUAUUGGGCCUAAAGCGUCCGUAGCCGGUUUAAUAAAUCUCUUGUGAAAUCGUCAAGCUUAACUUGACGGCGUGCUUGAGACACUGUUAAACUUGAGACCGGGAGGGGUCAGAGGUAUUUCAGGGGGAGCGGUAAAAUGUGAUAAUCCCUGGAGGAUCACCUAUGGCGAAGGCAUCUGACCAGAACGGAUCUGACGGUGAGGGACGAAGGCUAGGGGAGCGAUCCGGAUUAGAUACCCGAGUAGUCC